RNAcentral lists this ribosomal RNA (678 nucleotides) under uncultured Bacteroidales bacterium. Its description in RNAcentral is "bacterial SSU rRNA". It matches the Rfam family "Bacterial small subunit ribosomal RNA", at positions 66 to 738 of the family's 1533-position model. Lineage: Bacteria; Pseudomonadati; Bacteroidota; Bacteroidia; Bacteroidales. The record is from RNAcentral.
CAGCAUGGUCUUAGCUUGCUAAGGCUGAUGGCGACCGGCGCACGGGUGAGUAACACGUAUCCAACCUGCCGAUGACUCGGGGAUAGCCUUUCGAGAGAAAGAUUAAUACCCGAUGGCAUAGUUCUUCCGCAUGGUAGAACUAUUAAAGAAUUUCGGUCAUCGAUGGGGAUGCGUUCCAUUAGGUUGUUGGCGGGGUAACGGCCCACCAAGCCUUCGAUGGAUAGGGGUUCUGAGAGGAAGGUCCCCCACAUUGGAACUGAGACACGGUCCAAACUCCUACGGGAGGCAGCAGUGAGGAAUAUUGGUCAAUGGACGAGAGUCUGAACCAGCCAAGUAGCGUGAAGGAUGACUGCCCUAUGGGUUGUAAACUCCUUUUAUACGGGAAUAAAGUGAGGCACGUGUGCCUUUUUGUAUGUACCGUAUGAAUAAGGAUCGGCUAACUCCGUGCCAGCAGCCGCGGUAAUACGGAGGAUCCGAGCGUUAUCCGGAUUUAUUGGGUUUAAAGGGAGCGUAGGCGGACGCUUAAGUCAGUUGUGAAAGUUUGCGGCUCAACCAUAAAAUUGCAGUUGAUACUGGGUGUCUUGAGUACAGUAGAGGCAGGCGGAAUUCGUGGUGUAGCGGUGAAAUGCUUAGAUAUCACGAAGAACUCCGAUUGCGAAGGCAGCCUGCUGGACUGUA